This 550-nucleotide ribosomal RNA is filed under the name uncultured bacterium. Its description in RNAcentral is "bacterial SSU rRNA". It matches the Rfam family "Bacterial small subunit ribosomal RNA", at positions 355 to 896 of the family's 1533-position model. The record is from RNAcentral.
CGGGGAAUAUUGGACAAUGGGCGAAAGCUGAUCCAGCCAUGCCGCGUGUGUGAAGAAGGCCUUUUGGUUGUAAAGCACUUUAAGUGGGGAGGAAAAGCUUAUGGUUAAUACCCAUAAGCCCUGACGUUACCCACAGAAUAAGCACCGGCUAACUCUGUGCCAGCAGCCGCGGUAAUACAGAGGGUGCAAGCGUUAAUUGGAAAAAUUUGGGGGAAAAAGCGCGCGUAGGUGGUUAUUUAAGUCAGAUGUGAAAGCCCCGGGCUUAACCUGGGAACUGCAUCUGAUACUGGAUAACUAGAGUAGGUGAGAGGGGAGUAGAAUUCCAGGUGUAGCGGUGAAAUGCGUAGAGAUCUGGAGGAAUACCGAUGGCGAAGGCAGCUCCCUGGCAUCAUACUGACACUGAGGUGCGAAAGGCGUGGUAGCAAACAGGAUUAGAUACCCUGGUAGUCCACGCCGUAAACGAUGUCUACCAGUCGUUGGGUCUUUUAAAGACUUAGUGACGCAGUUAACGCAAUAAGUAGACCGCCUGGGGAGUACGGCCGCAAGGUUA